GAUGACUCUUGCCCUCCACCCAACAGUGCCAGAGGUUCCCAAAAGUCUCCUCAGUCUCCCUUAAAAGAGGGUCUCAGCCUUGUCAGGCUCCCUAAGUCCAGAAAGCUCCAGAGGCCAGACCAGACCAUCUCAGGCUGGUGACCCAGCCUGGGUCCCGCCCAGCAGCCUGACCUCUAGCCUUGGGGACAGAGACCUCUCAGCCAUGACACUGAGUUCCCACUGAUUCUGGCCGUGGUUAAUCCAGUUGGGGUCCCCCAGGCCGUCCCGGGAUCCCCUUGGGCUCCCCUCAGAUCCAUCACCAUCCCCCCAAGGCAUGGAAGCUCUUCCUGGCAGGACAGCGGGCUUUAAGUCCAGCCCCCAGCACCUGCCUUUAUCAUGGCCCCACCCAACCCCUAAAAGAGAGGGAACCCCAGAGGGCAAGAUAGUUUGUUACCCCCUCCCAACCCCUUAGACGCACUAUGAUUUUUGCUUUCUUCUUUAGCAAGAUAUUCUGGCUUUUAGGUGAGGAUGACUCUCCAGUGAGCACCCACACCCC
Molecule: long non-coding RNA, 535 nt
Filed under: Bos taurus (domestic cattle)
Lineage: Eukaryota; Metazoa; Chordata; Mammalia; Artiodactyla; Bovidae
Description: long non-coding RNA NONBTAT015764
Source: RNAcentral